Molecule: ribosomal RNA, 119 nt
Filed under: Pteropus alecto (black flying fox)
Lineage: Eukaryota; Metazoa; Chordata; Mammalia; Chiroptera; Pteropodidae
Source: RNAcentral
GUCUAUGGCCAUGCUACCCUGAACAAGUCUGAUCCUGUCUGAUCUCAAAACUAAGCAGGGUCAGGCCUGGUUAGUACUUAGAUGGGAAGACCACCUAGGAAGAUUAGGCGCUGCAGGCA